UGAACAAACUGCUCUUUAUCUUGCUUAUUUCUGUUAGUAGUGAUGUUACUCUAAAUAGGCAAUUAUGCUUCAUUUCCUGACAUUGCCAUCACUCAAGACCAUAGUUCGGAUCUAAUUAUACCUUCUUUUGGGAGAUGGGCAAGAACCAAUUGGUAGCCGAUCAAUUGAUAGCCAAUUUUCUAGACUUGCCAACAGUCGGCAUCAAACCAAUUAGGCUUGUAUUACCUGGUGGUACAUCUCAGCCAGGAAUAUUUGGUUGGUCUUAACUACAGGAUAUUUCAAACUGAUUUUGUUCAUAAUAUUCUACUACUAUGAGAUAAAUAGAAUGUUACCAUGGUUUGCUUUAGGUUAUUCUCUUAUUGCUUUGACCUUGUCAUUCUCUCAUUAGCUCUUGAUGCAAAACUAAGCUAUCAUUCUAAUCCACUUUUAGGGAGGGGAAUGGCCGUUGCAGGGUAAUUUUAUCUGUACAUCUGAAUUUAGUCACUAGACAUGUAAAACUUAUUUGCUAGAUAUGUAAGACUUAUUUGGCUUUCUUGCCUUAAGCCAUUAUCUCCUGUUUGGUUGACCAGCUAUGGUUGUUCAAUCCUGUACACUCUUGCUGCUAUUACCCAGUUUUUUAAGUUUUUCCAAGAGUGGAGAUCCAUUUCUGGAAGACACUAAAAUGUUAAAUGCAGGUCCUGUAUAAAAAGGAUUAUACUAUCUUCCCCUAACAAUGGAACAAUAAUCCUGUGAAACUUUGUUUAUUUCCCUCUGCAUAGUCCCAUAGUUUCAGACUGAAAAUCUGCCAGACCCCAUGACCAAGACUAUAUGAAUCUAGCAGAGGAAAUCAUAUGGGAAGCCGAGAUUGGUGCUUGGAACCAACCACACUGCCAAGCGCCAUCUCCUCUUGAAGAGCCUGGAAUCGUUGGUUCAUCAAUCCCCAUCAGGAACCACAUCCGACAAGGGAAUCAUGAUUCCCACACAAGUUCUAGAGGACAUGGGUGAUGAAAUCCCAUACAAUAGAACGAGUUACUUAACCCCGUAAUUUGGAUAACCCGCUUAAAGGUAUCAAGAAUCUACCCACGACGUACACUUCAUAACAUAGACGCACGGUAUGAAUAAAGUCGGUAUCACAACAUUACCGCUGCUGCCAAUAUAUUAAUAUAGCAAAAGCUCAUACAUGGAGCAAGAUAGCAAAUUUAUUACAUUUAUAGAUCAGA
Molecule: non-coding RNA, 1199 nt
Organism: Aegilops tauschii subsp. strangulata
Lineage: Eukaryota; Viridiplantae; Streptophyta; Magnoliopsida; Poales; Poaceae
Source: RefSeq, a predicted model, not a curated record